AAGUCAAUGUCUUACAAACUGCUACAUUAAAAAAAUGCGGGAUUUUUCAGCUUCGGUUAUUCAUUUAAGAUCACGAUAUUUAACCAUAAAUGCGCGGGUAACUCUAAAUAAGACUGUUCAAUUAGGAACGUCAACGUCUAAUCUUUUUGUUGCUUUUUUUCACAAGCAAGGUUUAUUGGAGAAACACAGGCUGAUUUAUAUUCCUUAUUCGAUUUAAUUUUGUUCUAUUGAUUUUGUACCGUAUGUUGUCAAAACCAUAAGGAGACCAGUAUCAAGACAAUUUAAAUAAACAUCUCGUUGAGUUUGAACUUUUACCUAUUGCAGAGCUCAAAAUAAUGAUUUGGUGCUGACGAGACUCAAGACAGUUCCCGAAUUAAACCGCGUCUCAUUCGUCGAGAAACCCAAAAAAGAAAAACUUCCUAAAUUUGCAAAACUAACUCGGUCAAAAACUGCGAAUGAAUCUGACCUGCAAUUAAAUCUAUACGACAAAAAAAUGCUUGAUGAUGUUUCGGAUACGCAAGAAAACGAAUCAUUCCGAGCGCAAAAUUUUCCUGCUAGAAAAAGCAAAAAUGUAGGAAUAGUUCGCGGAGCAGGAAUACAUACACUAAACAUCGGAAAUACCGCAAGCAAUCUAGAGUCGAAGCAUGAAGAAUUACCUCGAUUAACAAGCUCAGAUAUGCCAAAAGUUCUGAGGUCCAGACCCCAUAAAAAAGAAAAUCCGUUACCUUCUAUUCAACCUGUCAAACUUGUCACACUGAAAACGAACAACACAAUGAGAGAAUCAUUCACUCAGACCAACUCAGUUCAAUUAUUGGAUCUCUCUGGCAGAAGCCAGGCAAAAUCCCUCAGGCAAAUCAACCAGAAGUAUCUUCCCCACAUUCUCGCAUCAGACCAGCCUAUAUCUCCAAAUCGAAUUCAACCUUCAGUGGGCAUGAGUAAAAUGCAGAAAGCGCACAUGGUGAAGCUAAUGCGAGAACUCACUUACUGACAAACGUCUUAAAUCUUCAUUCUCGUUGAUCUCGCGAAAUAUUUUUUA
This is a long non-coding RNA of Symsagittifera roscoffensis, 1036 nucleotides long. RefSeq lists it as uncharacterized. Lineage: Eukaryota; Metazoa; Xenacoelomorpha; Acoela; Convolutidae. The record is from RefSeq and is a predicted model, not a curated record. The transcript is spliced from 3 exons.